Molecule: transfer RNA, 76 nt
Filed under: Escherichia coli
Lineage: Bacteria; Pseudomonadati; Pseudomonadota; Gammaproteobacteria; Enterobacterales; Enterobacteriaceae
Description: tRNA-Asn
Rfam family: tRNA
About the family: Transfer RNA (tRNA) molecules are approximately 80 nucleotides in length.
Source: RNAcentral
UCCUCUGUAGUACAGUCGGUAGAACGGCGGACUGUUAAUCCGUAUGUCACUGGUUCGAGUCCAGUCAGAGGAGCCA